RNAcentral lists this long non-coding RNA (1726 nucleotides) under Solanum tuberosum (potato). Its description in RNAcentral is "long non-coding RNA (STUB_LNC011634)". The record is from RNAcentral. Lineage: Eukaryota; Viridiplantae; Streptophyta; Magnoliopsida; Solanales; Solanaceae.
UGUUAGAUUUCCUGUUGGAAUAGGAGAUAGCAAUAGUUUGGCGCUGGAUGUGUCAUGUACCUUUUUGAAGUGUUGGCAUCUUUCUUCAACCCAACUUUUCAAAAAAAUGGGGGAAAAUGCAUAAGUACCCCCCUUAACCUAUACCCGAAAUUCCAGAGACACUUAUACUUGAUAGUGCCACAUAGGCCGAAAAGGGGUAAAAAAUUAUUUAUAAAAUAAAUUAAGGAGGGUAAUAGGACCUUAGUAUAAUAUAAGUGUGUCUCUGAAAUUUCGGGCAUAGGUUAGGGGUACUUAUGCAUUUUCCCAAAAAAUGGUGCUAGGUCUAAAGGUGGAAGCUAAAAUUUUCUGGAAAAACAAAUGAGAGGAAUAAACAAUGGAGAAAAGAAAGUACAUAUAUAUAAACAAACAAUUGAGAGGAAUAAAUGACAAUAGAAAAGAAAAUACACAAUUAUAUAUAAACAUAAUACACAGAGUUAUAUAUUAAUUUAAGAUCUAAGAAUAUAUAUUAGAUAAACUCCCCGAUUUUAUCCAAACAGACAUAUUACAUGAGGACCGCUACUAACAUAAAUCACAAAUUUGAAUGAUUCAAAUUGAAAGAGGGCCAAGCAAAAAGGUUUGGAACCAUGUUCUUCAACAUGUACUCGGAAAAUGUCUAUAACUUCACAACCUCAUUAUAAAAUUUCAUUAGAUCAGCAUACAACCCCACAUUAACAUGGGAAAUUAAAAAAAUUAAAAGAUAAAGCUUCAAUAAACUCAAUCGAAAAGGUAGACAACGUAACCCACAUCUAUAAAAGAAUCAGAACAGAGAAACACAUAAAUUGAUAAAUAAGAGAUAAAGAGGAACAAUUGCUAAUGAUCAUGGACCAAUAAUUGAAAGGUGAACAACUCAUUCUGAAAGUCAAGUAUCAUUAAACAUGAAAUUGCAACAAGCAUUAUAACAAAAGGCUUUACUUAGUAGUAAAAUAAACUACUUCAUGUAUCCAUCUUCAACUAUCUUUGAGAAUGAUAAACGUUAAACAAACUCAUUACUAUAAUUAUUGUGAGUGAACUUAUGAAACACUCAGUAGUAUAGGUUUUUAGUGCCUAUAUGACCAAGUUUAGGGAUAAACAAUUUUUUUGAAUAUUUAGUCGUGAAAUUAAAUAGAAGCCGAACCAAGAACCAAUACCCCAAUUUAUAGAAGUAUAACAUAAUUACAAGACAACCAUAAAUAUAGUAACAAUUACAUUAUAAAGAUGGAAAAAAUAACUAAGAACAAAAAUUGUGAACUCUCACAUUAAAAUUUUCAAUCAAAGUUGGGUAAAUUCAACAUUGCUUACACCGGGGACAAAUCAGUACUCUUGAUGGUUCACUUGGCCCGAACAGUCAUAAGAGGAAGUAGGAAAAUGGAAGGUAAUAGUCAAAUUAAUCAUCAAUACAACGUAACAACCUACAACUUAUAACUAAGCACCAUUUCAAAACUCAGAAAAUUAAGAGAAGAAAAGAUAUCAGCGGAAGAAUGAGAAUAAGAAUGUUUCAGAAAAACCACCAGUUGUUACCUUGUCCAAAAUUGAAGCUUCAGCAGAUGAUCAUUACUUUGCUCGCAUAUGAAAGUUGUUACGAAUGCAAGAGCAAUUUGUUUCUACAAAUCAAAGUAAAUGGAUGAAAAAUCUAAAAUGAAGAUUCAAAGAGGGGAUGAAAGAAAAACUACACAAAUGAACAACAAUUUGUUUCUACAAAUCAAAGUAA